This 432-nucleotide ribosomal RNA is filed under the name uncultured bacterium. RNAcentral's name for it is "partial 16S ribosomal RNA". It matches the Rfam family "Bacterial small subunit ribosomal RNA", at positions 29 to 507 of the family's 1533-position model. The record is from RNAcentral.
AACGAACGCUGGCGGCAUGCCUAACACAUGCAGUUCAAACGGAACCUUCGGGCUUGGUGGGCCAGGGGUGGUUACGGGGGGGGAACCUCCCCUAGGGUUCGGAAUAACUCCCCGAAGGGGUUCCUAAUACGGGAAAAGGUCUCGGACCAAAGGUUUAUCGCCUUUGGGUGGGCCCGCGUUGGAUUUGCUAGUUGGUAGGGUAAAAGCCUACCAAGGCGACGAUUCAUAGCUGGUCUGAGAGGAUGAUCAGCCACACUGGGACUGAGACACGGCCCAGACUCCUACGGGAGGCAGCAGUGGGGAAUAUUGGACAAUGGGCGAAAGCCUGAUCCAGCAAUGCCGCGUGAGUGAUGAAGGCCUUAGGGUUGUAAAGCUCUUUUACCCGGGAUGAUAAUGACAGUACCGGGAGAAUAAGCUCCGGCUAACUCCGUG